CCCUUAGAUGUUCUGGGCUGCACGCGCGCUACACUGACACACUCAGCGAGUCCCCUGGCCCGAGAGGGUUGGGUAAUCAUGUGAGCGUGUGUCGUGAUGGGGAUAGAAUAUUGUAAUUAUUGCUCUUCAACGAGGAAUUCCUAGUAAGCGCGAGUCAGCAGCUCGCGCUGAUUACGUCCCUGCCCUUUGUACACACCGCCCGUCGCUCCUACCGAUGGGGUGAUCCGGUGAAUGAUUCGGACUUCCGCAAGGCUGGCGACCAGUUUUUGCGGAGGAAAGUCUUGUGAACCUUAUCACUUGGAGGAAGGAGAANUCGUANCA
This 321-nucleotide ribosomal RNA is filed under the name uncultured eukaryote. RNAcentral describes it as "partial 18S ribosomal RNA". It matches the Rfam family "Eukaryotic small subunit ribosomal RNA", at positions 1470 to 1796 of the family's 1831-position model. The record is from RNAcentral.